RNAcentral lists this ribosomal RNA (352 nucleotides) under uncultured bacterium. RNAcentral's name for it is "partial 16S ribosomal RNA". It matches the Rfam family "Bacterial small subunit ribosomal RNA", at positions 338 to 688 of the family's 1533-position model. The record is from RNAcentral.
CCUACGGGAGGCAGCAGUGAGGAAUAUUGGUCAAUGGUCGGGAGACUGAACCAGCCAAGCCGCGUGAGGGAUGAAGGUACAGAGUAUCGUAAACCUCUUUUGUCAGGGAACAAAGGCGGGGACGUGUCCCCGGAUGAGGGUACCUGAAGAAAAAGCAUCGGCUAACUCCGUGCCAGCAGCCGCGGUAAUCCGGAGGAUGCGAGCGUUAUCCGGAUUUAUUGGGUUUAAAGGGUGCGCAGGCGGUCUGUUAAGUCAGCGGUCAAAUCCCGGGGCUCAACCCCGGCCCGCCGUUUAAACUGGCAGUCUCGAGUUGGAGAGAAGUAUGCGGAAUGCGCGGUGUAGCGGUGAAAUG